Molecule: ribosomal RNA, 253 nt
Filed under: uncultured bacterium
Lineage: Bacteria
Description: partial 16S ribosomal RNA
Rfam family: Bacterial small subunit ribosomal RNA
Source: RNAcentral
UACGAAGGGUGCAAGCGUUACUCGGAAUUACUGGGCGUAAAGCGUGCGUAGGCGGUUUGUUAAGUCCGCUGUGAAAGCCCUGGGCUCAACCUGGGAAUUGCAGUGGAUACUGGCAAGCUAGAGUGCGGUAGAGGAUGGUGGAAUUCCCGGUGUAGAGGUGAAAUUCGUAGAUAUCGGGAGGAACACCGGUGGCGAAGGCGGCGAUCUGGGUCGAUACUGACGCUGAGGUGCGAAAGCGUGGGGAGCAAACAGG